CCUCCAGAUGUUGCUGAACUACAACUCCCAUGAUUCUAUUGAUGAAUGGCUCCGAAUCAUGGGAGUUGUAGUUCAGCAACAUCUGAAGG
Non-coding RNA from Pelobates cultripes (western spadefoot toad), 89 nucleotides. The record is from the annotation of a GenBank genome assembly. NCBI's taxonomy places the organism in Eukaryota, Metazoa, Chordata, Amphibia, Anura, Pelobatidae.